UGCAGGAUAGAGCAGCUUGGUAGCUAACCGGGCCGGAGGACGUGGGUUCAAAUCCCACUCCCGCUA
Molecule: transfer RNA, 66 nt
Filed under: Candidatus Tremblayella princeps
Lineage: Bacteria; Pseudomonadati; Pseudomonadota; Betaproteobacteria
Description: Candidatus Tremblaya princeps tRNA-Undetermined
Rfam family: tRNA
About the family: Transfer RNA (tRNA) molecules are approximately 80 nucleotides in length. Their secondary structure includes four short double-helical elements and three loops (D, anti-codon, and T loops). Further hydrogen bonds mediate the characteristic L-shaped molecular structure. tRNAs have two regions of fundamental functional importance: the anti-codon, which is responsible for specific mRNA codon recognition, and the 3' end, to which the tRNAs corresponding amino acid is attached (by aminoacyl-tRNA synthetases). tRNAs cope with the degeneracy of the genetic code in two manners: having more than one tRNA (with a specific anti-codon) for a particular amino acid; and 'wobble' base-pairing, i.e. permitting non-standard base-pairing at the 3rd anti-codon position.
Source: RNAcentral